GGCACAACCUUCAAGAUCAACGCUGUGCCGCAGAAGGUGGAGAUGAUGGCUGGUGCCGGCGAGCAUACGGCACCACUACCCACACACGACUUCUGAGCACUUGAAAUGCAGCUAGUGCCGCGCAGCAGAUGAAUCCUCAACGUGAUUUUACAUCAGUUAGAUUUAAAUGGCCAGACCAGCUCUAGAUCAUUAGGUCCUCAUGGGGGAAAGGUGUGCACCUUUGGUCUGAGAGAAUGAGGGUCACGUGAGACCUUUUGGAAACCUAACCAUUUACAUAUGGCUAUGGCAGGGCGCAGGUAGCCUAACCUGGGUAUGUCUGGAGACUGGCUUCCCUGUGCCGGGGGCCCCGACCCACCUCAGAGUUACACAGGGUGCUGUAUGGCAUCCUCAGAUCCAGGUUAGCACAGCCUGGUCCAGGGAUGUUUCUGAACUUGGUGCUGAGGAAUGGAACAGGGUCAGGCCCAGAUAUCUCGAGGAGUCACCCUGGAGAGCAAGAGAGACUGUCCUCCACCCAGGUAUGGGAGUCAGAAUUAGACGCACAUGGAGGACUUCCAGGUCGAAAGUAGAAUGAGGGCAUCUCGUGUGCAUGCUAAGUCACUUUAGUCGUGUCCGCCGCUUUAUGCCCCACGGACUGUGGCCCGCCAGGCCCCUCUGUCCAUGGGAUCCUCCAGGCAAGAAUGCUGGAGUGGGUUGCCCUGCUCUCCUCAGGAAUCGAACCCGAGUCUCAGUCAACCUGCACUGGCAGGCGGGUUCUUUACCACGAGCGCACGUGGGAAGGCCCGGGGACCAUUACUCCUCCGCCCAGAGACUGAGGGCGCUGAGGAAAGGAGGAGUGGCCGUGACCCCCGAGUUAGAUUUCCGGAGCCCAGCGGGGUGCAUUCCUCUCCCAGCCCCUCCCCACGCGGCACCCAGGCGGAUGUUCCGAUAGGACAGAAGGCGCUGGCCGUCAGGCGGAAGACCUCUGCGCGCAGCUCUGGUCAGGAAGGACGCGGCGGCCCCGCUGAGGACCCCGCGGCUGCGACAGCAGGCAGGGAGCGGCCAGGGCACCGUCACUGGCGGACGGAAAAGCUGAGGCCUCUCCCCACGUUUUCCGGACAGACUCUCAUCCCCUCGGGGAGGCAGAGGGGCGGCCCACACCCGGGCUAGUAGUGAACUUCUCACCGCCCUUGUCAAGCGGAGGCUCAAGGUCACGUUUAAUUUGAUUUAGAAGAAGCGAUGCAGUAACGGGGCACGUUUGGCUCCUGAACGUGAGCAAACCCACACCUGCUCGGAGACACGGCCUGGUUGGCUUCUCAAGCAAGUGUUCUGACCUGUCGAUUCUCCCAUCACGCCGUCACAUCUGCUCCCAGAGGCCUGCUGCUUACAAAAUGAAUUCUCUUAUCUCCCAGGCUCGAGGUCCUUUUCUAGUUUACAGCAGGAAAAAAACGUCCAAAAAAACAACAUGCGGAGACAUGCCUGUGGUUUGGGCCGUUAAUCACAGGACCCAGCGGGCCGGGUGGGAGCGCCCAGGCUCCUGGGUGAGGAGCCCCCUCUCCUGAGAGAGAGGGACGUUGUGCCUUCAGGUCAGGUGUGAGCCCCACCCGGAGCCCGUCCUCAGGCCUGGGCAGCCUGGGGCUCCACAGAGUGCCUCCUCCUCCCAAGGACCGGAGGGGUGGGAGCUGGAAAUGCAGAAGCAGGACGAGGGAAGCGUCACCGCCCCCGGGGGGCUGGGUAGCUGGAAACAGUGGGUCCCGUCAAGCAGGACCUGGACGGGCUCGUUUAUAAGCAAGAGCGCACUUUAUUUAGAGCCCCGGGGGACGGUGGCCCCUCUCCGAAGGCAGUGCCAUCACUCAUUUCCACCGGAAAAUAAACCCUCCCCCGCUCGGUCCACGCAGAGGGCCGGGAGGUGCGGGCGGGGCCGGAGCGGCUGGCCGCCUGUGCCCACCCCGGGCGGCCUUGUGCGCGAGGCGGCUCGGCCCUGCUGCGCGGCCCGGGGCUGGGAGCUGCACCGCGCCCAGCGGGACCCAGUCGGCGGUAGAGGCAAAGCAAGUCCAGAGACGGAGAGGCACGGCCUGGAGAGACGAUUGGCCAGGGCAGGGGAGGCCAUGGAGUGAGCGGAAGGACAAGAGAGGCUGCGGGGAGCCCGCCCGCCCGCGGAAAGCCCGCUCUGGAGGCCCGGGUUCUGUUCACUUAGGUAUCUGUACUCUGCAGGUGCUAAGAAUACUGUUUAUUAGGUGUUUGGGCUUCCCACACGGCGCUGUUGGUAAAGAACCCAGCUGCCAACGCAGGAGACCUAAGAGAUGGAGCUCUGUCCUUAGGUGGGAAGAUCCCCCGAAGGAGGGCAUGGCAACCAGCUCCGGUGCUCUUGCCUGGAGAAUCCCAUGAAGAGAGGAGCCUGGCGGGCUACGGUCCAUGGGGUCACAGAGUGGGAGCCGACUGAAGGGACAACAGGCACAUUAGGGUUACAGGCUGUGCCUGGCACCCCGGGUGGUUUACAUCACUUCUCAGACAGCCGCCACCUGCAUGGCUUGUGGGACCUUACUUCUCUGACCUACGGGAAUCCAGAAUCUAAGGACAUCUCAGAGUCUUAACCACUGGGCCGCCAGGGCAUUCUCUCUCUCCACUCGUUUGAAACCACAGAUUACAUUGUGC
Long non-coding RNA from Bos taurus (domestic cattle), 2631 nucleotides. The record is from Ensembl. NCBI's taxonomy places the organism in Eukaryota, Metazoa, Chordata, Mammalia, Artiodactyla, Bovidae.